GAUCAUGGCUCAGGAUGAACGCUGGCGGCGUGCCUAACACAUGCAAGUCGAACGGAGCUUACUUGAAGGAGACUUCGGUCAACGGAAGGGUAAGCUUAGUGGCGGACGGGUGAGUAACGCGUGGAGAACCUGCCCUGUACAGGGGGAUAACAGUGAGAAAUCACUGCUAAUACCGCAUAAGCGCACAGUACCGCAUGGUACAGUGUGAAAAAACUCCGGUGGUACAGGAUGGCUCCGCGUUGGAUUAGCCAGUUGGCGGGGUAACGGCCCACCAAAGCGACGAUCCAUAGCCGGCCUGAGAGGGUGAACGGCCACAUUGGGACUGAGACACGGCCCAGACUCCUACGGGAGGCAGCAGUGGGGAAUAUUGCACAAUGGGGGAAACCCUGAUGCAGCCGACGCCGCGUGAAGGAAGAAGUAUCUCGGUAUGUAAACUUCUAUCAGCAGGGAAGAUGAUGACGGUACCUGACUAAGAAGCCCCGGCUAACUACGUGCCAGCCGCAGC
Molecule: ribosomal RNA, 505 nt
Filed under: uncultured bacterium
Lineage: Bacteria
Description: bacterial SSU rRNA
Rfam family: Bacterial small subunit ribosomal RNA
Source: RNAcentral